GACGAACGCUGGCGGCGUGCCUAAUACAUGCAAGUCGAGCGAAGUUUUUCUGCUUCUUGCACUAGAAAAACUUAGCGGCGAACGGGUGAGUAACACGUAAAGAACCUGCCUCAUAGACUGGGACAACUAUUGGAAACGAUAGCUAAUACCGGAUAACAGUAUUUCUCGCAUGAGAUAGAUUUAAAAGAUGGUUAUGCUAACACUAUGAGAUGGCUUUGCGGUGCAUUAGCUAGUUGGUGGGGUAAAGGCCCACCAAGGCGACGAUGCAUAGCCGACCUGAGAGGGUGAUCGGCCACACUGGAACUGAGACACGGCCCAGACUCCUACGGGAGGCAGCAGUAGGGAAUAUUCCGCAAUGGGCGAAAGCCUGACGGAGCAACGCCGCGUGAGUGAAGAAGGACUUCGGUUCGUAAAGCUCUGUUGUUAGGGAAGAAUGGAUAUGUGGUAACUACACAUGUAAGAGACGGUACCUAAACAGAAAGCCACGGCUAACUACGUG
RNAcentral lists this ribosomal RNA (499 nucleotides) under uncultured bacterium. Its description in RNAcentral is "partial 16S ribosomal RNA". It matches the Rfam family "Bacterial small subunit ribosomal RNA", at positions 28 to 507 of the family's 1533-position model. The record is from RNAcentral.